This 465-nucleotide ribosomal RNA is filed under the name Vreelandella stevensii. Its description in RNAcentral is "partial 16S ribosomal RNA". It matches the Rfam family "Bacterial small subunit ribosomal RNA", at positions 338 to 795 of the family's 1533-position model. Lineage: Bacteria; Pseudomonadati; Pseudomonadota; Gammaproteobacteria; Oceanospirillales; Halomonadaceae. The record is from RNAcentral.
CCUACGGGCGGCUGCAGUGGGGAAUAUUGGACAAUGGGCGAAAGCCUGAUCCAGCCAUGCCGCGUGUGUGAAGAAGGCCUUCGGGUUGUAAAGCACUUUCAGUGGGGAAGAAAGCCUUGGGGCUAAUACCCUCGAGGAAGGACAUCACCCACAGAAGAAGCACCGGCUAACUCCGUGCCAGCAGCCGCGGUAAUACGGAGGGUGCGAGCGUUAAUCGGAAUUACUGGGCGUAAAGCGCACGUAGGCGGUCUGAUAAGCCGGUUGUGAAAGCCCCGGGCUCAACCUGGGAACGGCAUCCGGAACUGUCAGGCUAGAGUGCAGGAGAGGAAGGUAGAAUUCCCGGUGUAGCGGUGAAAUGCGUAGAGAUCGGGAGGAAUACCAGUGGCGAAGGCGGCCUUCUGGACUGACACUGACGCUGAGGUGCGAAAGCGUGGGUAGCAAACAGGAUUAGAUACCCCAGUAGUC